This 614-nucleotide ribosomal RNA is filed under the name Uncinocarpus reesii. RNAcentral describes it as "LSU rRNA". It matches the Rfam family "Eukaryotic large subunit ribosomal RNA", at positions 38 to 667 of the family's 3401-position model. Lineage: Eukaryota; Fungi; Ascomycota; Eurotiomycetes; Onygenales; Onygenaceae. The record is from RNAcentral.
GCAUAUCAAUAAGCGGAGGAAAAGAAACCAACAGGGAUUGCCUCAGUAACGGCGAGUGAAGCGGCAAAAGCUCAAAUUUGAAAUCUGGCCCCGUCAGGGGUCCGAGUUGUAAUUUGGAGAGGAUACUUCGGGUGUGGCCGUGGCUUAAGUCCCUUGGAACAGGGCGUCAUAGAGGGUGAGAAUCCCGUCUUGAGUCACCGGUCCACGCCCAUGCGAAGUUCCUUCGACGAGUCGAGUUGUUUGGGAAUGCAGCUCUAAGUGGGUGGUAAAUUUCAUCUAAAGCUAAAUAUUGGCUGGAGACCGAUAGCGCACAAGUAGAGUGAUCGAAAGGUUAAAAGCACCUUGAAAAGGGAGUUAAAUAGCACGUGAAAUUGUUGAAAGGGAAGCGCUUGCAACCAGACUCGAGCGCAGGGUUCAGCGGGCAUGCGUGCCCGUUUACUCCCUGUGCUCGGGCCAGCAUCAGUUUCGGCGGUUGGUUAAAGGCCUCUGGAAUGUAUCGUCCUCCGGGACGUCUUAUAGCCAGAGGCGCAAUGCGGCCAGCCGGGACUGAGGAACGCGCUUCGGCACGGAUGCUGGCAUAAUGGUUGUAAGCGGCCCGUCUUGAAACACGGACC